Molecule: long non-coding RNA, 470 nt
Organism: Hyaena hyaena (striped hyena)
Lineage: Eukaryota; Metazoa; Chordata; Mammalia; Carnivora; Hyaenidae
Exons: 2
Source: RefSeq, a predicted model, not a curated record
UGCUUCUUCGCCCCUGGGCUUCCAGACGGCGCCUCUUCUGCCGAUGGCUCCAAGACACCUCAGGGAAGCGACGAAAUUAACUGGUCACACUGAGGUGUGACUGAGAAGUUCCGAGAUACAAUUGCUUUUGAAGAACUUGCAACACCUUGAGUGGAAGGAAACCUUCCUGGCCUGAGAUCAGGCAAGAGUCACGUCUGGUCUUUUUGUUUGCUGGCUUUGCCCUGGGCCUGAGCCUAAAGUAACCGGCUCUAGAAUCUCACCAGAUGCUCCUGAUUAGAAGUUGUUUCUACAGCCUCUUGGAAGAUGGAGAUCAAGCUGUCUGGUGCACCUCCUAUCGGGCAGUGGCUACGUUGACAACGAACCUUCAUAUGAAGGUUCAAUGACCCCUCCCCGCCCCCACUGUGUCACCAUUUCCUGCCUCCUUUCUUCUGCUUCCUGGGACUACAUUUCUAAGUAAAGUCCUUGGACAU